RNAcentral lists this long non-coding RNA (862 nucleotides) under Pongo abelii (Sumatran orangutan). Its description in RNAcentral is "lincRNA". The record is from RNAcentral. Lineage: Eukaryota; Metazoa; Chordata; Mammalia; Primates; Hominidae.
GUGCAGUCUCAGCUCACUGCAGCCUCAAACUCCUGGGCAGCUCAGAUGGUUUACUAGGUGAGUGUGUCCUCGAUUAUUUAAAUCAGGGGUCCCCAAUCCCCAGGCCACAGAUUGUUACCAGUCCAUGGCCUGUUAGGAACCAGGCCACACAGUAGGAGUGCACAGCCAGAGAACAACACAUCACACACAGGAAACAGUUGUGCUCAUGUGAUGGGGGCCUCAGCACUAGGAAGGAGUGGACUAUUGGCGCAUGUAGCAGCUUGAAUAAAUCUGAAAGUCACUACACUGCGUAAGAGAAGCCAAAUAAAAAAGUUCAUGCUGUGUACAGAGGGUGUUGAGAAUGCCUCCUACGUGACGGAAAGCAGAUCCGUGGUUCCCUGCAGACCGGCAGGAGCAGAUUCCAAAGGCACAGGAAGAAGCUUGCAGGUUGCCUGUUCACUCUGGCUAGUCAUAUGCAGAAAACUGAAACUAGACCCCUUCCUGACACCUUAUAUAAAAAUUAACUCAAGAUGGAUUAAAGAUUUAAACGUAAGACCCAAAACCAGAAAAAUCCUAGAAGAAAACCUAGGCAAUACCAUUCAGGACAUAAGCAUGGGCAAAGACUUCAUGACUAAAACACCAAAAGCAAUGGCAGCAAAAGCCAAAAUUGACAAAAGGUUUCCUUAACGACAACAAAAAAGGGAGUAAUCCUACCUACUGUAAGAGUCAUGACUCUUGAUUGCAGCUGACAGAAGCUCAUGACAGCCUGGUUUAGAUAAAAGGGGAAAGGACGACUGGAAGAAUCUUGGAGUUGGGAAUAUGGCACAUAAUUGAAGGAAGAGCAAUAAAACUAUAAUUCUUCCCGUGGAGACUGGAGUUUCCA